This 1069-nucleotide long non-coding RNA is filed under the name Laticauda laticaudata (blue-ringed sea krait). RNAcentral describes it as "lncRNA (ENSLLTG00000014900.1)". The record is from RNAcentral. Lineage: Eukaryota; Metazoa; Chordata; Lepidosauria; Squamata; Elapidae.
GUGGAAUUCAAGGCAUGUAUUACAACCACAUUGCUUUCAUUCCUGUGCUGGGAAAGGAUUUAGACCUACAGAUUUGAUAAAUCUGUUUGAUUUCGACUGAAAACAUAUGCAUUUUAUUCCCUCGCUGAAUGCACAUUCUACCUUUCCUCAUGGCAUCCCUAUAGUAUAAUCUUGUGAGGUUGGUUGGAUUGAGAAAGCAUGAAGCUGCCCAAUGUUGAACCAGAACUUGAAUCUAACUGCUGAAUGGCAUCUGGGAAGAGAAGCUGAAGAUGAACCACCAAGGCCCAUCACCUACCAAGAAUGGACAGGCGCCAAACUCAAAUGUCCGUUGCUUUAUUUAUUAAGAAAAAUGUAUAUGGCUGCCCAACUCUCUCAUGCUAAGUUUAUCUCAUAAAGAUAAAACCCAAUAGAAAAACUAAUAAACUCACAUCAUCCUAGUGAUGACAAUCAAGUGACCAUUUGAGGGGGCUCUGUAUCAUCCUGGGAUCUUUUAAAAGUAUCAAAGUGGGGGCCCAUCUUAUUUAUGCAGGGAUGAUGUUCAAUAGGGAUGGGGCCAUCAAAGACAAGGCCCUUCUUCUUAGUCCCACUAGAUGGACCUCCUUAAAAAGGGAGGCCUAUAACAUACCCUGCCUCUCUAUUCUGGGAGGCUGCUUUAAUUCAAAUGUAGAUUAUAAGUAGCUUUACAUAAUUGAUUGUGGGAAGAUUGUAAAGGGAUGGAAAGAAGAUUAAAAGGUAAAGGUUCCCCUUGCACAUAAGUGCUAGUCGUUUUCCGCUCUAGGGAGUGGUGCUCAUCUCCAUUACAAAGUCGAAGAGCCAGUGCUGUCCGAAGAUGUCUCCGUGGUCAUUUGGCUCACAUGACUAAACACCAAAGGCGCACAGAACGCUGUUACCUUCCCAUCAAAGUGGUCCCUAUUUUUCUAUUUGCAUUUUUAUGUGCUUUUGAACUGCUAGGUUAGCAGAAGCUGGGACAAGUAAUGGGAGCUCAGUCCGUUACAUGGUGCUAGGGAUUCGAAUUGCUGAACUGCCGACCUUUCUGAUCGACCAGCUCAGCAUCUUAGUCAGAGACAAU